UGGGCUGUAGCCAAGUGGUAAGGCAUCUGGUUUUGAUCCAGACAUCUCCUAGGUUCGAAUCCUAGCAGCCCAGCCA
Molecule: transfer RNA, 76 nt
Filed under: Leptospira sp. GIMC2001
Lineage: Bacteria; Pseudomonadati; Spirochaetota; Leptospiria; Leptospirales; Leptospiraceae
Description: tRNA-Gln
Rfam family: tRNA
About the family: Transfer RNA (tRNA) molecules are approximately 80 nucleotides in length.
Source: RNAcentral